RNAcentral lists this ribosomal RNA (624 nucleotides) under uncultured bacterium. Its description in RNAcentral is "bacterial SSU rRNA". It matches the Rfam family "Bacterial small subunit ribosomal RNA", at positions 130 to 753 of the family's 1533-position model. The record is from RNAcentral.
CCACCACUUGGGGAUAACCUUGCGAAAGUAAGACUAAUACCCAAUGACGUCUCUAGAAGACAUCUGAAAGGGAUUAAAGAUUUAUCGGUGAUGGAUGGGGAUGCGUCUGAUUAGCUUGUUGGCGGGGUAACGGCCCACCAAGGCGACGAUCAGUAGGGGUUCUGAGAGGAAGGUCCCCACAUUGGAACUGAGACACGGUCCAAACUCCUACGGGAGGCAGCAGUGAGGAAUAUUGGUCAAUGGACGAGAGUCUGAACCAGCCAAGUAGCGUGCAGGAAGACGGCCCUAUGGGUUGUAAACUGCUUUUAUAAGGGAAUAAAGUGAGUCUCGUGAGACUUUUUGCAUGUACCUUAUGAAUAAGGACCGGCUAAUUCCGUGCCAGCAGCCGCGGUAAUACGGAAGGUCCGGGCGUUAUCCGGAUUUAUUGGGUUUAAAGGGAGCGUAGGCCGGAGAUUAAGCGUGUUGUGAAAUGUAGACGCUCAACGUCUGCACUGCAGCGCGAACUGGUUUCCUUGAGUACGCACAAAGUGGGCGGAAUUCGUGGUGUAGCGGUGAAAUGCUUAGAUAUCACGAAGAACUCCGAUUGCGAAGGCAGCUCACUGGAGCGCAACUGACGCUGAAGCU